AUCACUUCUUGACCUUUUGGCUAAGAUCAAGUGUAGUAUCUAUGUCUCUUCAACUUUUUGGUAAAUAGAAAUUAUUCUAAAAUUUAAAAAUAAUUCAUGAAAGAAUGGAAGACCUUUUCCAGUUUGGAGGUCAAUACCAUUUGAACAUCUGAGAACAGACCAAUCCAUC
Molecule: small nuclear RNA, 169 nt
Gene: U2
Rfam family: U2 spliceosomal RNA
About the family: U2 is a small nuclear RNA (snRNA) component of the spliceosome (involved in pre-mRNA splicing). Complementary binding between U2 snRNA (in an area lying towards the 5' end but 3' to hairpin I) and the branchpoint sequence (BPS) of the intron results the bulging out of an unpaired adenosine, on the BPS, which initiates a nucleophilic attack at the intronic 5' splice site, thus starting the first of two transesterification reactions that mediate splicing.
Source: Ensembl